Long non-coding RNA from Phascolarctos cinereus (koala), 604 nucleotides. RefSeq lists it as uncharacterized. The record is from RefSeq and is a predicted model, not a curated record. NCBI's taxonomy places the organism in Eukaryota, Metazoa, Chordata, Mammalia, Diprotodontia, Phascolarctidae.
GAAUGAGAGCGUGAAACUGGAAGUAAAAAGGGAGGAGAAGGAAGAAAAAUAACCUGAAAAUGUCAAACUUUAAUUCCCAAGAUGCUGCAUGAUUCCAGGUCUCUGCUGCCACAUCAGUUCUGGGCCAGAGACAAGGAUACAUUAUGACAGGGAAACCCAAGUCCUAAUAAGUGUAAUUUAUGCUGCUUCUUGUCCAUCUUGCACAUCAAAUGAACAGCCUCUGUGGAAAUGGGCAUAUGUCCUUAAAUACUCUGAAUCAGCAUAAAGACAUCUUCAGUACACUGGCAGUCUACGUAGUAUAUCAUUUCAUUAAUGGCAGUUUUCAAAAUUAAAGCUAUGCCACCACAAAGCCAAUAUCUGAUUUCAAACACUUUGAAGACAGGAGGAAACUCAAGAAUACAGAAUCCAUCUUUCUCAGUGAAUUGCCCAUCACCAAGCUGGUUUUACAUUUUGCAAGGCUGUUGACUUCAUCCAGAUAACUGUUGAUCUUUGUCUUGUUGAUGACUUGUUUACUGGCAAAUACUGUCUUCAUGUUAUUUUGAAGUUACAGAUAGACAGAAAAGUGAAAAAUUGACUUCAACAAUCAUACUUUUUUUAAAAAUUG